RNAcentral lists this small nuclear RNA (107 nucleotides) under Sphenodon punctatus (tuatara). Lineage: Eukaryota; Metazoa; Chordata; Lepidosauria; Sphenodontia; Sphenodontidae. The record is from RNAcentral.
GUGAUCACUUCAGCAGCACAUAUGCUAAAAUUGGAAUGAUACAAAGAAGAUUAUCAUGGUCCCUGUGCAAGGAUGACACGCAAACUUGAAAAUAUAAUUCUGCUACU